UCUCUCGUAACUUAAUGGUCAUAGCAUUGGUCCAUAAAACGAAUAGUCUCGGGUUCGAUACCCGGCGAGAGUG
This 73-nucleotide transfer RNA is filed under the name Agrilus planipennis (emerald ash borer). It matches the Rfam family "tRNA". Rfam says of the family: Transfer RNA (tRNA) molecules are approximately 80 nucleotides in length. Their secondary structure includes four short double-helical elements and three loops (D, anti-codon, and T loops). Lineage: Eukaryota; Metazoa; Arthropoda; Insecta; Coleoptera; Buprestidae. The record is from Rfam by way of RNAcentral.